RNAcentral lists this ribosomal RNA (377 nucleotides) under uncultured bacterium. RNAcentral's name for it is "bacterial SSU rRNA". It matches the Rfam family "Bacterial small subunit ribosomal RNA", at positions 523 to 898 of the family's 1533-position model. The record is from RNAcentral.
AUACGGGGGGUGCAAGCGUUGUUCGGAAUCAUUGGGCGUAAAGAGCGUGUAGGCGGCUUAACAAGUCAGAUGUGAAAUCCCUGGGCUUAACCCAGGAAGUGCAUUUGAAACUGUUUGGCUGGAGUAAGGGAGAGGAAAGUGGAAUUCCUGGUGUAGAGGUGAAAUUCGUAGAUAUCAGGAGGAACACCGGUGGCGAAGGCGACUUUCUGGCCCUAUACUGACGCUGAGACGCGAAAGCGUGGGUAGCAAACAGGAUUAGAUACCCUGGUAGUCCACGCUGUAAACGAUGUUCACUAGGUGUUGGGGGUAUUGACCCUUUCAGUGCCGCAGCUAACGCAUUAAGUGAACCGCCUGGGGAGUACGGUCGCAAGAUUAAA